RNAcentral lists this ribosomal RNA (17 nucleotides) under Medicago polymorpha. Its description in RNAcentral is "partial 5.8S ribosomal RNA". Lineage: Eukaryota; Viridiplantae; Streptophyta; Magnoliopsida; Fabales; Fabaceae. The record is from RNAcentral. RNAcentral also lists the same sequence under 32 other names.
GAAUGACUCUCGGCAAC